Molecule: ribosomal RNA, 464 nt
Filed under: uncultured bacterium
Lineage: Bacteria
Description: bacterial SSU rRNA
Rfam family: Bacterial small subunit ribosomal RNA
Source: RNAcentral
AGCGAACGCUGGCGGCAUGCCUAACACAUGCAAGUCUGACGGGCGGGGCUUACGGGCUCUGUCAGUGGCGGACGGGUGAGGAGCGCGUAGGAACGUAUCCAAGGGGUGGGGACGAACCGCGGGAAACGUGCGGCUAAUACCGCAUGGGGCCGUCUGGGGAGGACCUGCAAGGGGAGGACCUGGGGGCCGAAAGGUCGAGUGAUCGAUCGCCGAUGGAGCGGCCUGCGUCCGAUUAGCAGUUGGUGGGGUGAUGGCUUACCAAGGCGGCGAUCGGUAGCUGGUCUGAGAGGAUGAUCAGCCACACUGGGACUGAGACACGGCCCAGACUCCUACGGGAGGCAGCAGUGGGGAGUAUUGGACAAUGGGCGAAAGCCUGAUCCAGCAAUGCCGCGUGGGUGAAGAAGGUCUUCGGAUUGUAAAGCCCCUUUCGGGCGGGGACGAUGAUGACGGUACCCGCAGAAGAA